CCCCCCUUGCCCCCCUCCCCCUCCUCCUCUUGGAGUGGGCUCGGGAAGCCUUCUCUGGGGAGGGUGCUGGCUCCGCACCAGCCGUGGAUUACGGGGCUCGCGGCUCCGGGCAGCGGAAGUCUCUGCUCCGCAGUGGGCCGAGCGGCGGGCCGCGGCUCUCCGUGGGGCUCGCAAAGGCCGCUGGAGGGCAGGCCGACCGUCAGCGCUUCCUCGCUGCUGGUUACUGUUCGUUUUCGUUAAUAGGGACUGAGUCGCUCUUCAUACACGCCUCCGAAAUAGGUAUUUCUGUUGUGACCGCGAAUUGCUCUUACCAAGUAGCUUAUGGGCCCUGACUGAAGAGACGAGACAGCACGGAGAAGAGAGAGCUGUAGGGAGAGACUUUGUACUCAAGAGGCUGACCUGAGUAAUAUGACACAACUUCUGUUACCCCAGCUACCGUGAUAGUGGGCUUCUCCUGUAACAGUACAACUGUUGAUCACUAAUAGAUCUGCGAACAUCAGAGUUGGAGAGAUGGGGAGAAAGAAUUUCGAUUUGAUCGUUAAGAGGCGGUGAAUGCUUUCAUCCUUUUGGAUUCCUCUUUCACAAUACAGCUGUUGCCAGCUGUCACCGAAGGUGUCCUUGAACAGUCUUCUGGAGUCCCUUGGCAUGGUGAUCCAGACUUUUUCCAUGUGGAUCCUGAACUGCCCAUGUCUUGUGCCCCAGGAGCUGGUAAUUCAACAGCUGGUACAAUGGAUUUUGAAUCCGUUUGAUUGAUGUGAUGUCUUGCAGAUAGUAAUUUAUGAAGGGGACAGCUCUUCAAGUGAUAACAGCUUUGUGUAGAGUCCUGCUCUGUGUGUAGAAGCUUGGGUUGUGCUAUGGUAUAUGGAACUGUGACACAGAAUGCCACCGAACAAGAUGCUGAACAACUUGGGUGAUGCCCAUUGAAAAGACGUUACCAGCAUAAUUUGGUAGCUCUUGAUUCUUUGCAGGGUGGAGGGAUGUACCACCACAGCUGUCUGUUACUUAUAGAAUCAUGCAAUUUAAGGUCAUGGGCUCCAACUUCCCCUGCAAUGAGCAUGGACAUCUUCAGCUAGAUCAGGUUUCUUAGACCUCUGUCCAACCUUGAAUGUUUCCAGGGAUGAGGCAUCCACAGCUUCUUUGGGCAGUCUGUGCCAGUAUUUCACCAUCCUCGCUGUAAAAAAUUUCUUCCUUAUCUAGUCUGGAUCUAUACUCUUUUCGUUUAAAAACAUCACCCCUUCUAUCACUACAGAUCCUACUAAAAUGUAUGUCCCCAUCUUUCCUAAAGGCCCCCUAUACAUACUGAAAGGCCACAGUAAUGGCUGCCUGGAGGCUUCUCUUCUCCAGGAUAAGCAACCCCAACUCUUUCAGCCUUUCUUCAUGGAACAGGUGUGUUCCAGCCCUCCAUUUUUGUGGCUUCCUCUAGACACUUCUGCAGGUCCAUGUCCUGGACCGGCCACCAGCUGGAUGCAGCACCACUCUCUGGGCCCGGCCAUCCAGCCAGAACCGUGCUCUGUGCGCACUGAAUACUUUUAUUGGGGCUUAGAGCUUGUCUCUGUAUUUCUUUGAAUAUGUUUUUGCAGUCAGAUACUAUCGCCGACAAUCCUUGAACCUUAACCUGUCACUAUUUUAUAUUAAUAAAGAGUCUUAUUCUAUAAA
Molecule: long non-coding RNA, 1656 nt
Organism: Corvus hawaiiensis (hawaiian crow)
Lineage: Eukaryota; Metazoa; Chordata; Aves; Passeriformes; Corvidae
Exons: 6
Source: RefSeq, a predicted model, not a curated record